RNAcentral lists this long non-coding RNA (1473 nucleotides) under Gossypium barbadense (sea-island cotton). Its description in RNAcentral is "long non-coding RNA (GBAR_LNC017876)". The record is from RNAcentral. Lineage: Eukaryota; Viridiplantae; Streptophyta; Magnoliopsida; Malvales; Malvaceae.
AAUGCCACAGUAUAACUGUCAUAAAAUAAACAUGCUAUAGAAAUUAAAUUCCUCUUAAAAUGAGGUACAUAAAAUACGCUCUUUAAAACAAUUUUCCUAAAAAUAUCAAAAUAUAAAAUAACUUCUCCUACUACUUCGCCUGAAACAUAGCUCCUAUCUCUGGUCCACAAUGAGAGGCUCCUGUCAUGCAGAAUUCUAGUUUCGCUGAAUUUCUGUAAAGAAACAAACACAUGGUUAGCGGCUCCAGAAUCAAUAACCUAUUUGUCAAUUGAUUCUUCCACUAAGCAAGCUUUAACCAAAAAGAGUUUCAUACCUUUUCCCUUUUCGGCUAGGUAAUCCAAAUACUCUUUACAGUUUGAUAUGAAAUGCCCUUUCCUAUUGCAGAAGAAACAUUUGAUCUUUUUAGGAUCUUUUGACUUCUUAGCCUUCUUCUUAUCUACACGAGGUGGAAUCAAAGACUUAGUCGGUUUCUUUUUUCCCUUAGCCUUUUGCUUCCCCUUAGAGGACGAGGGGACCAUAGCUAAGUUUGCAUCAACUUUUUUUAUGUGAGCUCAGUUACGAUCAUUCAUGAUUUAAUUUACCCGAUCGUUUAAAUAGGUACUCUUUCUUGAAAUAUGGUGAAAAUAUGAAUGAAAAUAAAAACAAACAGUUAAUUUAAGGAUAUAACUUUCGAAUGAUAAAUGGACUAGAAAUGAACCGUCGUUAGAAGAAAAUGCAACCUGAUUUCUAUAAGGGAGUUUAGACUCGAAAAGCUUGAUGGAUAAAGAAGAUAGCCACACUUUGGGAUGGUGAACAAAAUGAUAAGAUGGGUUUGAACGCCACAAGAAUAGAAUUCUUGAUAAGUUCGAAAGUUCUUAAAGAACAAAGAGCUUAACUCAAAUAAGUUUAUAUCAUAAAACAUCUAACCUUACAUCAAUCCAUAAACGAAAUAUAUAUAGGCAACAUAAAUUGUAAACAAAUGGCCACAAACCAACCAUUAAUGUUGUGCACAAACUUCCCAAAAAGAUAUUAAAAUUUUCUCUUCAACUGAACAACCAAAGAUCCUUCAUAAAUUCAUUUUAUGCUUCCUUAGCUAGGAAGAAAGAUUGAUUUAUCUUGAGCAAUUAAAAGGCUUCAUAAUUCCAUGCAUAUGCAUCAAAUUGAAUGCCCCUCCAUGCAGUUUAAUAAAUGAUAGAAUAUUCAUGCAUGGAAAAAAGGAAUGGUUUGUUUCUAGAAGCUUGUUGGUUCAUGCAUGAAUUCCCCAAGCAUUCAUCUUCAAAUGUCCAUUGCUAUGCCCUCAUGCAUCAACCCCUAAGGUGACUGAAUAAACACCUUUUGUAUACAAACCGAACAAUCAUUUUAUAUGUGAAAGGAUUUGAUUCCCUUUGUAAAAACAAACAACCUUUUUGGAGCUUUAAAGUGUCCGGCCAUGAGUCAUUCCUAGGACAAAUUAAAAUCAUAUUUAGGACAUAUUAAACAUGCAUUAAAAAGCAA